GACAAACGCUGGCGGCGUGCCUAAUACAUGCAAGUCGAACGACGAAAGCCUUCGGGCAAGUAAGAGUGGCGCACGGGCGAGGAACACGUAGAUAAUCUGCCCUUCAGUGGGGAAUAACUCUCCGAAAGGAGUGCUAAUACCGCAUAAGACCACAAGCUCUGCGGAGCAAGGGGUUAAAGGAUUUAUUCGCUGAAGGAUGAGUCUGCGUCCGAUUAGCUAGUUGGUGAGGUAAUGGCUUAACAAGGCAAUGAUCGGUAGAUGGUCUGAGAGGAUGAUCAUCCGCACUGGAACUGAGACACCGUACAGACUCCUACGGGAGGCAGCAGUAGGGAAUAUUGCACAAUGGGGGAAACCCUGAUGCAGCAACGCCGCGUGAGUGAUGAAGGCUCUAGGGUCGUAAAGCUCUGUCGUAUGGGAAGAAAAAAAUGACGGUACCAUACAAGAAAGGACCGGCCAACUUCGUGCCAGCAGCCGCGGUAA
This 480-nucleotide ribosomal RNA is filed under the name uncultured bacterium. RNAcentral describes it as "partial 16S ribosomal RNA". It matches the Rfam family "Bacterial small subunit ribosomal RNA", at positions 28 to 523 of the family's 1533-position model. The record is from RNAcentral.